GAGUUUGAUCAUGGCUCAGAGCGAACGCUGGCGGCAGGCCUAACACAUGCAAGUCGAGCGCCCCGCAAGGGGAGCGGCAGACGGGAGAGUAACACGUGGGAACGUACCCUUCAGUUCGGAACAACCAAGGGAAACGUUUGGCUAAUACCGAAUACGUCCGUAAGGAGAAAGAUUUAUCGCUGAAGGAUCGGCCCGCGUCUGAUUAGCUAGUUGGUGGGGUAACGGCCCACCAAGGCGACGAUCAGUAGCUGGUCUGAGAGGAUGAUCAGCCUCACUGGGACUGAGACACGGCCCAGACUCCUACGGGAGGCAGCAGUGGGGAAUAUUGGACAAUGGGCGCAAGCCUGAUCCAGCCAUGCCGCGUGGAUGAUGAAGGCCCUAGGGUUGUAAAGUCCUUUCGGCGGGGAAGAUAAUGACGGUACCCGCAGAAGAAGCCCCGGCUAACUUCGUGCCAGCCG
This 458-nucleotide ribosomal RNA is filed under the name uncultured Alphaproteobacteria bacterium. RNAcentral describes it as "bacterial SSU rRNA". It matches the Rfam family "Bacterial small subunit ribosomal RNA", at positions 9 to 514 of the family's 1533-position model. Lineage: Bacteria; Pseudomonadati; Pseudomonadota; Alphaproteobacteria. The record is from RNAcentral.